UUUUAUUUUUUGAAACAGUCUAAGUACUUAAAUGUUUAUGGUUAUUUAUGAAUUUCAUUUAUUCACAUUAUAUUAUUAUAGUAUUUAAUACUGAACUUGCACAAAACCCAGGAGUGUAUCUCUGAAUCGUUACCAUUAACAACGGUGAAUGUCGUUUGAUCUACAGCCCAUUGCUGCCACCAUUAAGGCCUCAACUUAUCGAUACUUCAAGCUGGACUCUUGACAAAAUGGGAGCCGCUGUUCCCAGAGUCUAUAAAUGCCAGGUGCUUCUACGCAUAAAAACCCAAGCAAGUAUAUUGUUGUGAAUAGCGCAUAUACAAACACUGGGCGAGGCGGCCACAAACUUUUGUCCUCAAAUUAGGGACUACAGUAUUUUAUAUUGAACUUGCACAAAACCCAGGAGUGGCCGUGUAUCUCUGAAUCGUUACCAUU
Long non-coding RNA from Acyrthosiphon pisum (pea aphid), 432 nucleotides. RefSeq lists it as uncharacterized. The transcript is spliced from 2 exons. NCBI's taxonomy places the organism in Eukaryota, Metazoa, Arthropoda, Insecta, Hemiptera, Aphididae. The record is from RefSeq and is a predicted model, not a curated record.